Non-coding RNA from Meleagris gallopavo (turkey), 1423 nucleotides. The record is from RefSeq and is a predicted model, not a curated record. NCBI's taxonomy places the organism in Eukaryota, Metazoa, Chordata, Aves, Galliformes, Phasianidae.
GAAUGACUGGAAGGGGUGGAGCCAGGAUCCACCUCUUCCCAGAUCUCAUUUAAGGGUUGGCAGUGGAACCAAGGGUACGUCUUGCUGGAAAUCUCUGUUUGUCUGAGGCCUUCUGAAGGUAAAUAACAGAAUAGAUACUGUGAAGAAUAAACUCUUCCUGCCGAGGUCAAUGUGGCACUACAAUGAUGUUAAAAGGAUGUAUUGGCGGCUUGAUCUGAGUUCAGAAACACAGCAAAGGCACUUCUAGAGCACUUUUGCAGCACGGUGAAUAAUACAGCUUGCUCUUAACUGGACAUGGGAGUCAACAGAGAAUUUAAAUGAGUGUACCUACUAAGUGUUUCAUACAAUUUAUCUUAAUUGUUUGAUUUAUUUGGAAACCUGUGACUGAAGAAAAGCAAGGCUAUAGUGCCAGAAAUUCAUUCUGGAUUGAGUAGUAGUGUGAAUAUGCUAUCAUUUGAUGUAAAUGAUCUUGCAGUAUUAGCACAAACCAGGAAACCUUCCUUCCAUGGCAGAGGUAUGAAAAACAAGAAGCAGUGAGGAGGGCGGUGCACGCAGCUGUUGGAGCAUCACAUUUCCUUGCCACCACCUCUGAUCUUAAACUUUUCCUGAAAAGUGGAGUGAGGAAGUGGGAGAAAGUUGGUUAUUAAUUUAUUUAUAGUUUUGUGUGUGCACGUAGACUUGUGUGAUGCAUCAGAUGUAUCUUUUCUGUUUUGGCACUAGAUUAUUUGCUACAUAAUACAUCUUUGCAGAUGGCAUCAGUUGUUAAAAAUAUAGAGAUAAAAAAGAUGAACCUCUUGGCUGUUUUUGCUAGAAAUUUCCAUGUUCCUUACAUAGAUACACUUACUUGAUUACUCGCUUUAUUAGUUACAAGUUUUGCAAAAGCUUCUAGUCUUUCUGAACAAAUACUCUUUCUGAAGUCUUUUUCUUUUCUGUCACGAUCCCUGGAGUAUAUUUAAAAUUCUGUGAUCCAUGGUAUUUAUUUAUUUGAUUUCUAAUACAGUUGAUUAGCAAGUCUUUGUCCUUUAUAAACCUUUUUGGCUCAGCCAGAGGAGUGAAAAUUCCCACUGACACAGAAAAUUUGUAGGGGUCAUACUUCAUUGCAUUUCAUAGUUAAACAGAAGCAAGUUUCAUCUGAAUGUGCGCACACCUCACACCUCAGGACAGGAUAAAUUUCUGUGAUAAGGAGAGUAAAAACUGCAUUUAAAGUGCUGACUUUACAGUUGUCCUGUAAUGAUAUUUUAAAUAUUCUGGUUCUUUGUAUUUUCUGAGUUGGAAAAAUGUGUCAUAGGAUUUUUCUUUUUAAAAUAAAGGUAAUUAGCUUAAUCUCAUCCGAAGAAGGUUGCCAACGUUUGCGAUUUUGAAUGAUUUUUUCUGCUGUGAUUCAGUGUAUAUCAUUUCUAUGGAACAAACAAACAAAACAACA